UACAGAGGGGGCAAGCGUUGUUCGGAAUUACUGGGCGUAAAGGGCGCGUAGGCGGCCUCUUAAGUCGAACGUGAAAUCCCCGGGCUCAACCCGGGAACUGCGUCCGAUACUGGGAGGCUUGAAUCCGGGAGAGGGAUGUGGAAUUCCAGGUGUAGCGGUGAAAUGCGUAGAUAUCUGGAGGAAUACCGGUGGCGAAGGCGGCAUCCUGGACCAUAACUGACGCUGAGGCGCGAAAGCUAGGGGAGCAAACGGG
Molecule: ribosomal RNA, 253 nt
Filed under: uncultured bacterium
Lineage: Bacteria
Description: partial 16S ribosomal RNA
Rfam family: Bacterial small subunit ribosomal RNA
Source: RNAcentral